GAUUUAAAAGACUACAUUUAUUGCUGUGACAACAUCAGCUACUGUCUACCGAUCCAAAAGAAGAAGCACAGGAAUGAGAGGGUUGACACCAGCAAGAAGAAGAAAAGAAAGGAGGCUAAGCACCUCAAGAAGGAGAUGGCAGACAGGAGGAGAAAGGAGGCCCUUGAGAUGGACAUCUCCAAGGUUUAGAGUGUGGAGACUGUAGUAGUGUCUCUGGAGGAGGUGAAGGAUAGGCCUGCAGAGAGACUUGAGGGUGAGCAUACAGUGAUCGCUAUCCACCAUGCUGAGAUGGCUAAUGCUAGGCUGGUGUCUCGCCCAAGAGCUGAGAAAGAGAACAUCAGUGAGCCUGAUCAAGAGACCAGCAAAGAGGGAUGCACCCUGAUUGAAUCAUCUGUUGACCAAGGGAUACCUCAGCUGGACGAGGGGGGUGGUAGGAGCCCAUCUCCACUGAAGGUUGAUGGAGAUGGUGAUUGAGACUUCAGCAAAGAGGACUGCACCCUGAAUGAGUCAUCUAUUGACCAUGGGACACAUCAGCUGGACGAGGGAGGCGGUAAGACCUCAUCCCUGUUCCAUGCUAAGGGAGACGGAGCGUGACCUGUGCCUCAGUUGAAACUGGACUGGCACAGACACCAGCCUACAAUUGGGAAGCCCACACCACAGGCCGGUGCGUGGCAUACGCCUCACACCCCUGAGAAGAGUGACGUGA
This is a long non-coding RNA of Alosa alosa (allis shad), 706 nucleotides long. RefSeq lists it as uncharacterized. The transcript has 4 exons. The record is from RefSeq and is a predicted model, not a curated record. Lineage: Eukaryota; Metazoa; Chordata; Actinopteri; Clupeiformes; Clupeidae.